UACGUAGGGUGCAAGCGUUGUCCGGAAUUAUUGGGCGUAAAGAGCUCGUAGGCGGUUUGUCGCGUCUGCUGUGAAAACUCAGGGCUUAACCCUGAGCCUGCAGUGGGUACGGGCAGACUAGGGUGUGGUAGGGGAGAUCGGAAUUCCUGGUGUAGCGGUGGAAUGCGCAGAUAUCAGGAGGAACACCGGUGGCGAAGGCGGCAUCCUGGACCGACACUGACGCUGAGGAGCGAAAGCCAGGGGAGCAAACGGG
This 253-nucleotide ribosomal RNA is filed under the name uncultured bacterium. RNAcentral describes it as "partial 16S ribosomal RNA". It matches the Rfam family "Bacterial small subunit ribosomal RNA", at positions 524 to 776 of the family's 1533-position model. The record is from RNAcentral.